GACGAACGCUGGCGGCGUGCUUAACACAUGCAAGUCGAACGGAAAGGCCCUGCUUUUGUGGGGUGCUCGAGUGGCGAACGGGUGAGUAACACGUGAGUAACCUGCCCUUGACUUUGGGAUAACUUCAGGAAACUGGGGCUAAUACCGGAUAGGAGCUCCUGCUGCAUGGUGGGGGUUGGAAAGUUUCGGCGGUUGGGGAUGGACUCGCGGCUUAUCAGCUUGUUGGUGGGGUAGUGGCUUACCAAGGCUUUGACGGGUAGCCGGCCUGAGAGGGUGGCCGGCCACAUUGGGACUGAGAUACGGCCCAGACUCCUACGGGAGGCAGCAGUGGGGAAUAUUGCACAAUGGGCGGAAGCCUGAUGCAGCAACGCCGCGUGCGGGAUGACGGCCUUCGGGUUGUAAACCGCUUUCGCCUGUGACGAAGCGUGAGUGACGGUAAUGGGUAAAGAAGCACCGGCUAACUACG
This 466-nucleotide ribosomal RNA is filed under the name uncultured bacterium. RNAcentral describes it as "partial 16S ribosomal RNA". It matches the Rfam family "Bacterial small subunit ribosomal RNA", at positions 28 to 505 of the family's 1533-position model. The record is from RNAcentral.